GACGAACGCUGGCGGCGUGCUUAACACAUGCGAGUCGAACGGAAAGGCCCUGCUUUUGUGGGGUGCUCGAGUGGCGAACGGGUGAGUAACACGUGAGUAACCUGCCCUUGACUUUGGGAUAACUUCAGGAAACUGGGGCUAAUACCGGAUAGGAGCUCCUGCUGCAUGGUGGGGGUUGGAAAGUUUCGGCGGUUGGGGAUGGACUCGCGGCUUAUCAGCUUGUUGGUGGGGUAGUGGCUUACCAAGGCUUUGACGGGUAGCCAGCCUGAGAGGGUGACCGGCCACAUGGGGACUGAGAUACGGCCCAGACUCCUACGGGAGGCAGCAGUGGGGAAUAUUGCACAAUGGGCGGAAGCCUGAUGCAGCAACGCCGCGUGCGGGAUGACGGCCUUCGGGUUGUAAACCGCUUUCGCCUGUGACGAAGCGUGAGUGACGGUAAUGGGUAAAGAAGCACCGGCUAACUACGUG
Molecule: ribosomal RNA, 468 nt
Filed under: uncultured bacterium
Lineage: Bacteria
Description: partial 16S ribosomal RNA
Rfam family: Bacterial small subunit ribosomal RNA
Source: RNAcentral